RNAcentral lists this ribosomal RNA (282 nucleotides) under uncultured prokaryote. Its description in RNAcentral is "partial 16S ribosomal RNA". It matches the Rfam family "Bacterial small subunit ribosomal RNA", at positions 524 to 803 of the family's 1533-position model. The record is from RNAcentral.
UACGUAGGGAGCAAGCGUUGUCCGGAAUUACUGGGCGUAAAGGGUGCGUAGGCGGUCUAUUAAGUUAGAUGUGAAAUCCCCGGGCUUAACUCGGGAGUUGCAUUUAAAACUGGUAGGCUUGAGUGCAGGAGAGGAAAGCGGAAUUCCUAGUGUAGCGGUGAAAUGCAUAGAUAUUAGGAGGAACACCAGUGGCGAAGGCGACUUACUGGCUCGUAACUGACGAUGAGGCACGAAAGCGUGGGGAGCAAACAGGAUUAGAUACCCGCGUAGUCCCUGAGCGGG